UACGUAGGGUGCGAGCGUUAAUCGGAAUUAUUGGGCGUAAAGAGCUCGUAGGCGGUCUGUCGCGUCGGCUGUGAAAACCCGGAGCUCAACUCCGGGCCUGCAGUCGAUACGGGCAAACUGGAGUACUGCAGGGGAGACUGGAAUUCCUGGUGUAGCGGUGAAAUGCGCAGAUAUCAGGAGGAACACCGGUGGCGAAGGCGGGUCUCUGGGCAGUAACUGACGCUGGAGGAGCGAAAGCGUGGGGAGCGAACAGGA
This 255-nucleotide ribosomal RNA is filed under the name uncultured bacterium. RNAcentral's name for it is "partial 16S ribosomal RNA". It matches the Rfam family "Bacterial small subunit ribosomal RNA", at positions 524 to 777 of the family's 1533-position model. The record is from RNAcentral.